AGUGAACGCUGGCGGUAGGCCUAACACAUGCAAGUCGAACGGCAGCACAGUAAGAGCUUGCUCUUACGGGUGGCGAGUGGGGGACGGGUGAGGAAAACAUCGGAACCUACUUUUUGGGGGGGGUUAAGGAAGGGAAACUUACGCUAAUACCGCAUCUCCCCUCCGGUUGAAGGCGUGGGAACUUCGGACCUUGCGCGAUUGAAUGAGCGGAUGUCGGAUUAGCUAGUUGGCGGGGUAAAGGCCCACCAAGGCGACGAUCCGUAGCUGGUCUGAGAGGAUGAUCAGCCACACUGGAACUGAGACACGGUCCAGACUCCUACGGGAGGCAGCAGUGGGGAAUAGUGGACAAUGGGCGCAAGCCUGAUCCAGCCAUACCGCGUGGGUGAAGAAGGCCUUCGGGUUGUAAAGCCCUUUUGUUGGGAAAGAAAAGCAGCAGGUUAAUACCCCGCUGUUCUGACGGUACCCAAAGAAUAAGCACCGGCUAACUUCGUG
RNAcentral lists this ribosomal RNA (492 nucleotides) under uncultured bacterium. RNAcentral describes it as "partial 16S ribosomal RNA". It matches the Rfam family "Bacterial small subunit ribosomal RNA", at positions 29 to 507 of the family's 1533-position model. The record is from RNAcentral.